Molecule: ribosomal RNA, 424 nt
Filed under: Verrucomicrobiota bacterium
Lineage: Bacteria; Pseudomonadati; Verrucomicrobiota
Description: Verrucomicrobia bacterium partial 16S ribosomal RNA
Rfam family: Bacterial small subunit ribosomal RNA
Source: RNAcentral
UGAGGAAUAUUGGUCAAUGGACGAGAGUCUGAACCAGCCAAGUAGCGUGCAGGAUGACGGCCCUAUGGGUUGUAAACUGCUUUUGUUUGGGAAUAAUCGACAUUACGUGUAAUGUUUUGCAUGUACCAUUCGAAUAAGGACCGGCUAAUUCCGUGCCAGCAGCCGCGGUAAUACGGUAGGUCCAGGCGUUAUCCGGAUUUAUUGGGUUUAAAGGGAGUGUAGGCGGUUGGUUAAGCGUGUUGUGAAAUGUAGAUGCUCAACAUCUGACUUGCAGCGCGAACUGGCUCACUUGAGUACACACAACAUAGGCGGAAUUCAUGGUGUAGCGAUGAAAUGCUUAGAUAUCAUGAAGACCACCGAUUGCGAAGGCAGCUUACGGGGGUGCUACUGACGCUUAAGCUCGAAGGUGCGGGUAUCGAACAGA